Clostridia bacterium BRH_c25 is the source of this 143-nucleotide non-coding RNA. Lineage: Bacteria; Bacillati; Bacillota; Clostridia. The record is from Rfam.
UAGCCGGUGAAAGUCCGGUCCCGGUAGUCGCCAAGGAGCCGGGUAGCAAAUCCCAGUGCGUCGCAGAAAUGCGGGGUGCCAAGCGGGAGGAUAACGUACCUGUAAAUUAGACAGGGCAAGCAAGGAUGCUGGUCGUAACAUAA